AAAGAUAGAUGAUGCUUGUUAUAUUUUGGAGGAGAUGGAGAAGAGGAAGAUGAGAGUCGAUUUGAAACUAUGGGAGUCCUUAGUUCAGGAAGUUGGCGAAAAGGAUAAAGGUGCCAUUAAGCUUGUAAGUGAACUCAUCUGUGCCUGAUAAUGCUUUUCUCUGUAUUGCCAUUUUCUAAUCAGUAAAAUUUAAUUGAUAUUUUCGAGCAUAGCUACUGCAAAGUGAAUUGGUGAGCUGGUUGUUCCUGCUGAAUGCAACCCUAGUUUUAGGACAUGAGUUUGUGAGAAGCACUGAUCUAAUACAUCACCUUGACAC
RNAcentral lists this long non-coding RNA (316 nucleotides) under Panax ginseng (ginseng). RNAcentral describes it as "long non-coding RNA (PGIN_LNC018396)". Lineage: Eukaryota; Viridiplantae; Streptophyta; Magnoliopsida; Apiales; Araliaceae. The record is from RNAcentral.